AAGCCAGCCAAUUAAUUCUACUUCUCUCAGUGUGUUUUCGCAGAACUUCAGAAACAGCUGGCAAUAGAGAUGCCAGUUUAUCAGCCUUAAGGACAGCUGAGGUCAUUACGUCCCUCAAAAUGGCCACAGUA
Jaculus jaculus (lesser Egyptian jerboa) is the source of this 131-nucleotide small nucleolar RNA. NCBI's taxonomy places the organism in Eukaryota, Metazoa, Chordata, Mammalia, Rodentia, Dipodidae. The record is from Ensembl.